GCUGGGCUUGCUGGCGGAUGCCUGUAGUCCCAGUUACUCAGGAGGCUGAGACAGGAGAAUUGCUUGAGCCCGGGAGGCGGAGGUUGCAGUGAGCCAAGAUCAUGGCACUGCAUUCCAGCCUGGGCAAUAGAGCAAGACUCUGUCUCAA
Molecule: non-coding RNA, 148 nt
Filed under: Pan troglodytes (chimpanzee)
Lineage: Eukaryota; Metazoa; Chordata; Mammalia; Primates; Hominidae
Source: Rfam by way of RNAcentral